Oncorhynchus tshawytscha (Chinook salmon) is the source of this 1667-nucleotide long non-coding RNA. RefSeq lists it as uncharacterized. The record is from RefSeq and is a predicted model, not a curated record. Lineage: Eukaryota; Metazoa; Chordata; Actinopteri; Salmoniformes; Salmonidae. The transcript is spliced from 4 exons.
CUAUGAUUGGUUUAGUCUGCACAUUAUGCAAUGUAUAACCCAAUCAUGGAUGGAUACGCGUAAUGCGCACAUAAAGACACAUCCGUGAAUUCGAUUAUCUGGCCCGGGUUGGUCCCUACCCCAUUGAAGUUUACAUUUAAAAUAGUUCAAGAGCGACUGCCCCUAAAAAAACAGCGAUGUGGCAUUGAUAUGAGUCAAACAUUUAUUCUAGUGUCAAACUUGACUACAAAGUGUUAAAAUAAUAAUUUUGUUCAUGAAGUCAGUCUUGUCUGAAACCGAGUUUAGAACCUCGGGGCAUCACACCGAGUAAAUGAAGGUUGGGUUUCGAUUACAAUUAUGUCAAUAAAUCAUGCCCCUUUUGUCAAACUCCACGUGUAAAUUGCCCCUCCCACUUCGUUUCCUUUCAUGGAUUGAAACUCAAUUGUUUCUUCGUCCUAAACCAAAGCGAUCAUGGCCGUUUGAGACUGAAAAGCCCUAUACGGAUUCACCAUGCAAUGCAUGCUUUCAGCUAGGUUGAAGGUGGGUAUAUUUUAAGGAUGCACACCAAACAACUAUGGUUUGCAUGCCCUGCAGAAGGACUCCAUCAUGCAAGUUUUAUUCCGUUGGUUCCCAGUGGAUGUCAGUAUACCGGCCGACCAUAGACUGCUGGUUAUGUACGGGCAUAAUUGGGUGCCAGACUGAUCCCGUGGUCAUGAACGGAUGCUGGGACCUACCAGAAGGAGCAACGGUGGGCUUGUCAGGCAAGACCUCAGAAUAAGUGUUUCACAACAAGUACUCUUGUGACACCUCAUCCAUUGUUGCCAGUCUCCCUCAACUCUGAUGAAAAGGACAUGCCGUCAUGAGGCCUCUGACCGUGAGUUACUGCCCUGAUGACACAGAUGGCUUCAUUGACAGGCACUUCCAGUCAACACCACCUAAUAAGAUCAGGAAGUACAUUGGUUUAUGAGGAUUGGCUGCUGCAGUUGUUUGAGAGAUGUCCAGUUUGCAGCUGAACAUGCAGCAUAGAGAAGACAAGCAUCAUGCAGACAUGCCCUCACAGUGAGCAUUCCUAUGAAUAGAGCAGUUGUGGCUGACAAGUAUCCAACCAGCGACCUUCACUUGUCAGCGGCAACAGCUUUCACAGGAUCAUCAUUUGUACAAAUACAAACAAUUUCUGUAAACUGACAUUAGUUGUUGCUUAUUUUCUACUUCUUAGCUGCGUAUAAUGUCCAGGGCAUAACCUAGCCUGGUUGAACCAGCCUGAUCCCUGUGUUCACCAUUCUAUUUCACUUCAAAUUUUAUAUCUGAAGUGAAAUAGAAAAGGUGAAUGGAGCAAUCAGGAUAUUUCUACCAAGCUAAUCAUAACCACCAUUGGUAAUGUAAUCAGUGCUGUGUGUGUGUGACCGACCAGUAUCUUUGAGGGACCAGUAGCUGAUCUACGCUACUAUGUCCAUCAAUAGGGCUCUGGCAAAGACCUCACAUCUUGCCUGCUCACCAACAGUCUUUGAUGGGGAGAACAGAAUUAGGUUUAGGCUGACCUGUUUAAACUUCAACAUAGGUGAGAUCUGACACAAAUCCCCCUCUUCAAAGGGGGUGACACUCUAGACCCAAACUGCUACAGAUCUAUAUCUAUUCUACCCUGCCUUUAAGGUCUUUAAAAGCCAAGUUAACAAACAGAUUACCAACCA